GGGGAUUUAGCUCAGUGGUAGAGCGCUUGCCUAGUAAGCACAAGGCCCUGGGUUUGGUUUCCAGCUCCG
This 69-nucleotide transfer RNA is filed under the name Rattus norvegicus (Norway rat). It matches the Rfam family "tRNA". From Rfam's summary of the family: Transfer RNA (tRNA) molecules are approximately 80 nucleotides in length. Their secondary structure includes four short double-helical elements and three loops (D, anti-codon, and T loops). Further hydrogen bonds mediate the characteristic L-shaped molecular structure. tRNAs have two regions of fundamental functional importance: the anti-codon, which is responsible for specific mRNA codon recognition, and the 3' end, to which the tRNAs corresponding amino acid is attached (by aminoacyl-tRNA synthetases). tRNAs cope with the degeneracy of the genetic code in two manners: having more than one tRNA (with a specific anti-codon) for a particular amino acid; and 'wobble' base-pairing, i.e. permitting non-standard base-pairing at the 3rd anti-codon position. Lineage: Eukaryota; Metazoa; Chordata; Mammalia; Rodentia; Muridae. The record is from Rfam by way of RNAcentral.